AUUACACCAAUCAAGCCCUGCUUGGUAUUAGGCCUUCGCCCCCGCCUCGCGGGGGCGUGCCUCAAACACCUCGGCGGAGCACACCGGCUUUGGGCGUAGUAGAAUUUAUCAACGCCCGUGGGACGGUGGGACUUUUGCCGCGCAAUCAAAACUCUUUAAAGGUUGACCUCGGAUCAGGUAGGGAUACCCGCUGAACUUAA
Molecule: unclassified non-coding RNA, 200 nt
Filed under: soil metagenome
Description: partial contains internal transcribed spacer 2 and large subunit ribosomal RNA
Source: RNAcentral